RNAcentral lists this long non-coding RNA (212 nucleotides) under Erythranthe guttata (spotted monkey flower). RNAcentral's name for it is "long non-coding RNA (EGUT_LNC001868)". Lineage: Eukaryota; Viridiplantae; Streptophyta; Magnoliopsida; Lamiales; Phrymaceae. The record is from RNAcentral.
CUAAAAAUAUAAGAUAUAAGGGAUUUAUUUUUUAAAUAUCCCAGUAAUACCCUUAUAUUUAACCGGACGUUUAUGUAGCGUUAUUAAACGUUAUGUCCAUUUAAUAAAUCACGUCCCUUGAAGAUAGGAAUUAUGUUUCAAUCACGUUCUAUCGUGAUAGUAACUGUAUCUUUAUGUAAUCUCAUUAAAUAUACUGCACGAUGUGAAAAAGA